AGUCGAGCGGUAGCACGAGAGCUUGCUCUCGGGUGACGAGCGGCGGACGGGUGAGUAAUGUCUGGGAAACUGCCUGAUGGAGGGGGAUAACUACUGGAAACGGUAGCUAAUACCGCAUAAUGUCGCAAGACCAAAGUGGGGGACCUUCGGGCCUCAUGCCAUCAGAUGUGCCCAGAUGGGAUUAGCUAGUAGGUGGGGUAACGGCUCACCUAGGCGACGAUCCCUAGCUGGUCUGAGAGGAUGACCAGCCACACUGGAACUGAGACACGGUCCAGACUCCUACGGGAGGCAGCAGUGGGGAAUAUUGCACAAUGGGCGCAAGCCUGAUGCAGCCAUGCCGCGUGUGUGAAGAAGGCCUUCGGGUUGUAAAGCACUUUCAGCGGGGAGGAAGGCGGUGAGGUUAAUAACCUCAUCGAUUGACGUUACCCGCAGAAGAAGCACCGGCUAACUCCGUGCCAGCAGCCGCGGUAAUACGGAGGGUGCAAGCGUUAAUCGGAAUUACUGGGCGUAAAGCGCACGCAGGCGGUCUGUCAAGUCGGAUGUGAAAUCCCCGGGCUCAACCUGGGAACUGCAUUCGAAACUGGCAGGCUAGAGUCUUGUAGAGGGGGGUAGAAUUCCAGGUGUAGCGGUGAAAUGCGUAGAGAUCUGGAGGAAUACCGGUGGCGAANGCGGCCCCCUGGACAAGACUGACGCUCANGUGCGAAAGCGUGGGGAAGCAACAGGAUUAGAUACCCUGGUAGUCCACGCCGUANACGAUGUCGAUUUGAAGUUGUGCCCUUGAGCGUGGCUUCGGAGCUACGCGUUAAUCGACCGCUGGGAGUAGGCCCGCAGGUAAACUGACCGCCUGGGGAGUACGGCCGCAAGGUUAAAACUCAAAUGAAUUGACGGGGGCCCGCACAAGCGGUGGAGCAUGUGGUUUAAUUCGAUGCAACGCGAAGAACCUUACCUGGUCUUGACAUCCACAGAACUUUCCAGAGAUGGAUUGGUGCCUUCGGGAACUGUGAGACAGGUGCUGCAUGGCUGUCGUCAGCUCGUGUUGUGAAAUGUUGGGUUAAGUCCCGCAACGAGCGCAACCCUUAUCCUUUGUUGCCAGCGGUUCGGCCGGGAACUCAAAGGAGACUGCCAGUGAUAAACUGGAGGAAGGUGGGGAUGACGUCAAGUCAUCAUGGCCCUUACGACCAGGGCUACACACGUGCUACAAUGGCAUAUACAAAGAGAAGCGACCUCGCGAGAGCAAGCGGACCUCAUAAAGUAUGUCGUAGUCCGGAUUGGAGUCUGCAACUCGACUCCAUGAAGUCGGAAUCGCUAGUAAUCGUAGAUCAGAAUGCUACGGUGAAUACGUUCCCGGGCCUUGUACACACCGCCCGUCACACCAUGGGAGUGGGUUGCAAAAGAAGUAGGUAGCUUAACCUUCGGGAGGGCGCUUACCAC
This 1431-nucleotide ribosomal RNA is filed under the name Klebsiella sp. enrichment culture clone HSL31. RNAcentral describes it as "16S ribosomal RNA". It matches the Rfam family "Bacterial small subunit ribosomal RNA". Lineage: Bacteria; Pseudomonadati; Pseudomonadota; Gammaproteobacteria; Enterobacterales; Enterobacteriaceae. The record is from RNAcentral.